CAACAAACUCUUCGCCAUAGCCUCUUCCGCUUUUCACAACAAGAAAGAGAUGCAUAUGAGAGGAAGAGAGCCUCCCCCAAGCUCUGUCUAGGCGAUGCACGGGAAAUUUGGAAACUAUCAAGGAGAUGUCGAAUGAUGAAUAUACUCAGACACUGAGACACAUUCUAAAACAUGUUUACGCCGGUGAUGGGGCUGCCGCCAACUUGGGCCCGCUCAAGAAUGGCCACUCUACAGGAGGGGGAUGGAGUCGCGGAAGCUCCUGUGCUAUUGGGAGCGACGGUUCCACAAUGAGCCGGUCUUUCGUCACCUCUGAGUUGGAGGAUGUCCAAGGCCGGAAGUGUUCGUCACCAC
Triticum dicoccoides is the source of this 351-nucleotide long non-coding RNA. RefSeq lists it as uncharacterized. NCBI's taxonomy places the organism in Eukaryota, Viridiplantae, Streptophyta, Magnoliopsida, Poales, Poaceae. The record is from RefSeq and is a predicted model, not a curated record. The transcript is spliced from 3 exons.